UAAAAUGAAAAUUGAUGUUAUCCUGUGC
RNAcentral lists this small RNA (28 nucleotides) under Bombyx mori (domestic silkworm). RNAcentral's name for it is "ovarian small RNA-5533". The record is from RNAcentral. Lineage: Eukaryota; Metazoa; Arthropoda; Insecta; Lepidoptera; Bombycidae.